GACGAACGCUGGCGGCGUGCCUAAUACAUGCAAGUCGAGCGGACUUACAAAGCUUGCUUUUUAAGUUAGCGGCGGACGGGUGAGUAACACGUGGGCAACCUGCCUGUAAGACUGGGAUAACUUCGGGAAACCGGAGCUAAUACCGGAUAAUCCUUUUCUACUCAUGUAGAAAAGCUGAAAGACGGUUUACGCUGUCACUUACAGAUGGGCCCGCGGCGCAUUAGCUAGUUGGUGAGGUAACGGCUCACCAAGGCGACGAUGCGUAGCCGACCUGAGAGGGGGAUCGGCCACACUGGGACUGAGACACGGCCCAGACUCCUACGGGAGGCAGCAGUAGGGAAUCUUACGCAAUGGCCGAAAGUCUGACGGAGCAACGCCGCGUGAGUGAUGAAGGUGUUCGGAUCGUAAAACUCUGUUGUUAGGGAAGAACAAGUACGAGAGUAACUGCUCGUACCUUGACGGUACCUAAUCAGAAAGCCACGGCUAACUACGUG
This 494-nucleotide ribosomal RNA is filed under the name uncultured bacterium. RNAcentral's name for it is "partial 16S ribosomal RNA". It matches the Rfam family "Bacterial small subunit ribosomal RNA", at positions 28 to 507 of the family's 1533-position model. The record is from RNAcentral.